Molecule: non-coding RNA, 119 nt
Organism: Gossypium hirsutum (cotton)
Lineage: Eukaryota; Viridiplantae; Streptophyta; Magnoliopsida; Malvales; Malvaceae
Source: Rfam
GGGUGUGAUCAUAUUAGCACUAAUGCACCGGAUCCCGUUGGAACUCUACAGUUAAGCGUGCUUGGGCAAGAGUAGUACUAGGAUGGGUGACCUCCUGGGAAGUCCUCGUGUUGCACCCC